RNAcentral lists this ribosomal RNA (366 nucleotides) under uncultured eukaryote. RNAcentral describes it as "partial 18S ribosomal RNA". It matches the Rfam family "Eukaryotic small subunit ribosomal RNA", at positions 592 to 976 of the family's 1831-position model. The record is from RNAcentral.
CAAUAGCGUAUAUUAACGUUGUUGCAGUUAAAAAGCUCGUAGUUGGAUUUCUGGAGGGAGCGUCGGCCCGUAUUUACGAGUGCGUGACGUCUCUGUCCAUCCUUGCGGGAAGGCACGGCAUUGAUUUGUUGUGUCGGAUCGCAUCAUUUACUGUGAAAAAAUUAGAGUGUUCAAAGCAGGCUUUCGCUUGAAUACAUUAGCAUGGAAUAAUAAGAUAGGACUUUGGUGCUAUUUUGUUGGUUGAGCCUAAAGUAAUGAUUAAUAGGUAUAGUUGGGGGCACCUGUAUUGCGUUGUCAGAGGUGAAAUUCUUGGAUUUACGCAAGACAAACAGCUGCGAAAGCGUCUGCCAAGGAUGUUUUCAUUAA